RNAcentral lists this ribosomal RNA (423 nucleotides) under uncultured bacterium. RNAcentral's name for it is "bacterial SSU rRNA". It matches the Rfam family "Bacterial small subunit ribosomal RNA", at positions 357 to 776 of the family's 1533-position model. The record is from RNAcentral.
AGGAAUAUUGGUCAAUGGGCGGGAGCCUGAACCAGCCAAGUCGCGUGAGGGAGUAAGGCCCUACGGGUCGUAAACCUCUUUUGCCGUGGAGCAGGGCGGCGGACGUGUCCGCCGUUUGAGAGUACCCGGAGAAAAAGCAUCGGCUAACUCCGUUCCAGCAGCCGCGGUAAUACGGAGGAUGCGAGCGUUAUCCGGAUUUAUUGGGUUUAAAGGGAGCGUAGGCGGGUUGUUAAGUCAGUUGUGAAAGUUUGCGGCUCAACCGUAAAAUUGCAGUUGAUACUGGCAUCCUUGAGUACAGUAGAGGUAGGCGGAAUUCGUGGUGUAGCGGUGAAAUGCUUAGAUAUCACGAAGAACUCCGAUUGCGAAGGCAGCCUGCUGGACUGUAACUGACGCUGAUGCUCGAAAGUGUGGGUAUCAAACAGG